This 75-nucleotide transfer RNA is filed under the name Candidatus Rokubacteria bacterium RIFCSPLOWO2_02_FULL_68_19. RNAcentral's name for it is "tRNA-Thr". It matches the Rfam family "tRNA". Rfam says of the family: Transfer RNA (tRNA) molecules are approximately 80 nucleotides in length. The record is from RNAcentral. RNAcentral also lists the same sequence under 1 other name. Lineage: Bacteria; Candidatus Rokuibacteriota.
GCCGGUGUAGCUCAGUGGCAGAGCAGCUGAUUCGUAAUCAGCAGGUCGUGGGUUCGAGUCCCACCGCCGGCUCCA